GUUUCCUUGAAGUUUGAGGGCUAGGAUGCUCCGGCAAGCUUCCAGCCGCACACCUGGUGCUUCUUCAUAGUGGAUGGCCCAGAGCAGAAGAUCUGUCAGCUGGGGACUCACUUGCCCAAUCUGUCCCAAAGCUGUAGAGACUGCUCAUCCCACGUUCCCACAGAAUCAUGGGUGUACCGUGCACAGCAGAGAUACUGGCGCUCUCUUCGGGUCCAUCAGAUAAGAUGACAACAUGCCUUGGCUUACCAUCUUGUCACGGAUCUGCAGGGCACCUGCUGCCGAACAAGCUGCCUGUCGAAUUGAUAUGAACUCAUCAGAGAAGCAGUUCAGGAAGCUUGGGAGAAGCUUGGCUGUCAUGACCUUGAGCACACGGAUCAGGGAGAGGGCCUCAAUCCGAUCCUGGAAAUUUCCUUGACUCAGCUUAAUCCUGUAAGAUACAAGUGGCUUUUAUUUCCCUUAAACUUUUCUGUAUCCUGUUCUCUUCCACCAUGCCCUCAGGAAAGAAUUCGAGCUUUGUGGGCCCAGUUACAUAGACAUACCUUUUCUUAGUCAGUUUAUAAUCAUUAAAGUUUCACUGGGUUCAGA
This is a non-coding RNA of Peromyscus maniculatus bairdii (prairie deer mouse), 585 nucleotides long. The record is from RefSeq and is a predicted model, not a curated record. Lineage: Eukaryota; Metazoa; Chordata; Mammalia; Rodentia; Cricetidae.